UACAGAGGUCCCAAGCGUUGCUCGGAUUCACUGGGCGUAAAGGGUGCGUAGGUGGUGAGGUAAGUCGGAUGUGAAAGCUCGGAGCUCAACUCCGAAAUGGCAUUGGAAACUACCUUGCUCGAGGGUUGGAGGGGGGACUGGAAUACUUGGUGUAGCAGUGAAAUGCGUAGAUAUCAAGUGGAACACCAGUGGCGAAGGCGAGUCCCUGGACAACUCCUGACACUGAGGCACGAAAGCUAGGGGAGCAAACAGG
Molecule: ribosomal RNA, 253 nt
Filed under: uncultured bacterium
Lineage: Bacteria
Description: partial 16S ribosomal RNA
Rfam family: Bacterial small subunit ribosomal RNA
Source: RNAcentral